CGCCGCGGUAAUUCCAGCUCCAAUAGCGUAUAUUAAAGUUGCUGCAGUUAAAAAGCUCGUAGUUGAAUUUCGGGACCGAUAUAUCGGUCGUGCCUCGGUACGUACUGGUAUUUUCGGUUUCUCCCUUCUGACGAACCUUGAUGUCAUUAAUUUGGUGUCUUGGGGAAUCAGGACUGUUACUUUGAAAAAAUUAGAGUGUUUAAAGCAGGCUCACGCUUGAAUACAUUAGCAUGGAAUAAUGAAAUAGGACGUUUGAUUCUAUUUUGUUGGUUUCUAGGAUCGACGUAAUGAUUAAUAGGGAUAGUUGGGGGCAUUAGUAUUCAAUUGUCAGAGGUGAAAUUCUUGGAUUUAUUGAAGACUAACUACUGCGAAAGCAUUUGCCAAGGAUGUUUUCAUUAAUCAAGAACGAAAGUUAGGGGAUCGAAGACGAUCAGAUACCGUCGUAGUCUUAACCAUAAACUAUGCCGACUAGGGAUCGGAUGAUGUUAAUUUUUUAAUGACUCAUUCGGCGCCUUACG
This 518-nucleotide ribosomal RNA is filed under the name uncultured Glomus. RNAcentral's name for it is "SSU rRNA". It matches the Rfam family "Eukaryotic small subunit ribosomal RNA", at positions 572 to 1092 of the family's 1831-position model. Lineage: Eukaryota; Fungi; Glomeromycota; Glomeromycetes; Glomerales; Glomeraceae. The record is from RNAcentral.